This 460-nucleotide ribosomal RNA is filed under the name uncultured bacterium. RNAcentral describes it as "partial 16S ribosomal RNA". It matches the Rfam family "Bacterial small subunit ribosomal RNA", at positions 338 to 795 of the family's 1533-position model. The record is from RNAcentral.
CCUACGGUGUGCAGCAGUGAGGAAUAUUUGUCAAUGGGCGCGAGACUGAACCAGCCAAGUCGCGUGAGGGAGGACGGCCCUACGGGUUGUAAACCUCUUUUGCCGGGGAGCAACGGGCGCCACGUGUGGCGUCACUGAGAGUACCCGGAGAAAAAGCAUCGGCUAACUCCGUGCCAGCAGCCGCGGUAAUACGGAGGAUGCGAGCGUUAUCCGGAUUUAUUGGGUUUAAGGGGUACGUAGGCGGAUCGUUAAGUCAGUGGUCAAAUUGAGGGGCCCCACCCCUUCCCGCCAUUGAAACUGGCGUUCUUGAGUGGAAGAGAAGUAUGCGGAAUGCGUGGUGUAGCGGUGAAAUGCAGAGAUAUCACGCAGAACCCCGAUUGCGAAGGCAGCAUGCCGGCUUCCGACUGACGCUGAAGCACGAAAGCGUGGGGAUCGAACAGGAUUAGAUACCCUGGUAGUC